UACUCCCCAGAUACAAUCUUCCACUCGGAAAUAUCCCUUUAAUUUGCAAAGGUAUUUUUGUCUUCUGGAAUCCCUAAGUGAUUUUUCUGGUUCUACUGACCCUUGGUCCAAUUCAGCCAGUUAUCCAUCUCCAACCUCCAUGCAGAAGAUGAGGCUGAUGAUUACUGUUUAUCUCUUGAAGGUGGUGCCCAAAUCACAGUGAUUCCCUUGGAGAGAUAAAUUGCCAAAGAGCUAAGAAAGCAUCAACCCUUCUCUGAAGUUGAAUGAAAUCUCCUGCCAGGCACCCCUUGUCUUUGUCCUAGAAAUAGAUCUAGGGGCUUUAAAAGGGAGGAACAGGAAGGGUAUUUGCAUGCCUUUGCAAUCCAUCUUUCUUGCAGCUCAACUUAAGCGUGAGGAGAAGAGGUCCACCUAGAAGGAAGUUUGGCUUCAGAAGAUCAGUCCUUGCCCGUUUCUCUGCCAUGGCCCAACCAUUUCUCUUCCUCCUCUUCCUGUUCACCUAUCUUACUGGUACCUUGGCCCAGUUCACCAUGACUCAGCCACCUUCUCUGUCGGUAUCCCCUGGAGGAACAAUCUGGAUCAGCUGUACCAGGGCAGGGGGUAGCAUUACUGGCUACGUUGUGAGCUGGUAUCAGCAGAAACCUGGCACUAAACCAGUACUAGUGAUCUAUAAUUAUUCUAGCAGACCAUCUGGAAUCCCUGAGCGAUUUUCUGGUUCUUAUGAUUCUUCUUCCAAUUCGGCCACUUUAUCCAUCUCUAACGUUCAAACAGAAGAUGAGGCUGACUAUUAUUGUUUGUCUCAUGAUGGCAAUUCUCAGAGCACAGUGAUUCCACCUUAUGGGGAACUGUGACAAAAACCAGAAGGUGGCCCUGUCUUCCUUGAACGCUUCGCUCAACACGGGUUGCAGAUGGUUUUAGAGAAGAACUGCACACAGUCAGGGAAGGUAUUUUGGAUGGUUCGAGCAUUCUGGGGUCAUGUGAUC
Non-coding RNA from Pantherophis guttatus, 980 nucleotides. NCBI's taxonomy places the organism in Eukaryota, Metazoa, Chordata, Lepidosauria, Squamata, Colubridae. The record is from the annotation of a RefSeq genome assembly.